This is a small nucleolar RNA of Zingiber officinale, 108 nucleotides long. The record is from RefSeq and is a predicted model, not a curated record. Lineage: Eukaryota; Viridiplantae; Streptophyta; Magnoliopsida; Zingiberales; Zingiberaceae.
AAACCGUGAUGGGAGCAUAGCCCGAGCAUCCCUUUAAACCUAUCCCAAGCUUCAUACAAAGAUUCAGUCUCAUUUUGUUGGAAGCUGGCAAUCAAAUUCUUCAUGUGC